UACGGGGGGGGCUAGCGUUGUUCGGAAUUACUGGGCGUAAAGCGCGUGUAGGCGGUUGUUCAAGUCGGGUGUGAAAGCCUUGAGCUCAACUCAAGAAAUGCACUCGGUACUGGAUGACUAGAGGACCGGAGAGGAUAGUGGAAUUCCCAGUGUAGUGGUGAAAUACGUAGAGAUUGGGAAGAACACCAGUGGCGAAGGCGGCCAUCUGGACGGUUUCUGACGCUAAGACGCGAAAGCGUGGGGAGCAAACAGG
This 253-nucleotide ribosomal RNA is filed under the name uncultured bacterium. Its description in RNAcentral is "partial 16S ribosomal RNA". It matches the Rfam family "Bacterial small subunit ribosomal RNA", at positions 524 to 776 of the family's 1533-position model. The record is from RNAcentral.